AGGAACUUAGGAUAACACCAGACCAAGAGCCUUCAAAGCUCUAAGUAGAAGUGAAAAUCUUCUAGUCCCUG
This 71-nucleotide transfer RNA is filed under the name Metzia lineata (lined lesser-bream). RNAcentral's name for it is "tRNA-Trp". It matches the Rfam family "tRNA". Rfam says of the family: Transfer RNA (tRNA) molecules are approximately 80 nucleotides in length. RNAcentral also lists the same sequence under 1 other name. The record is from RNAcentral. Lineage: Eukaryota; Metazoa; Chordata; Actinopteri; Cypriniformes; Xenocyprididae.